CUUUCUUGUAGCUACUUUAGUUGAGGUACUUAUUUUGCAAUAUUUAUGUUUGCCUAAAAUAUCUUUACUUACACUAAAUUAAUGAAGGUAUUUAUUUCUCUUGAAAGGGAAAAUUGUGCAGCUGAGUCUGGAACGCCGCACCAUCACCAUGGUAACGCUGCCUGGUCGCAGCUCGUGGAGACGCCAUACUGUCCGGAGCAGCGAGAGAGAGCGGGCAAACAGAGAGGAUGAUGCCGGGGCCUGACUCUUCCUGUCCCGCCACUCAUUCAGCCUUUACCCGGCGCUGUUAAGCUGGUCCGGGAUAUGGCUGCAGCUGCCGCACACCUCGACACCGACUGGCCGCAUGUGGGUGAUUUAAACACGGACUCAAAGCAGGAGCUGCUGCCACUGAAAGGCCGAGCAGCGGCCACCGCAGGCCGCACCGCCUCGGGGGAAGCGACGCAGCAGCUCCCGCUGCUGCUACUGCUGCAGGGACAUGAUGGUGAUGAUGGUGAUGUCCUCGAGCUGCACGAGAACAAAAGCAGCUUUCCCCCCGGGGAAAGUGGUGCUUUUAGGUCCAAGGAGGAGCUGGGGAACGUGUUUGACGCCAGAUUAUCCGAGUGCUUCCGAAAUGUUCACGCCGGGACAGAGAGCAUCGCUGCCGUGAGUGAGAUCACCGAGGACACGCUGCUGGAGAAAGACGAAAUUUGGAAAGUUUUAACCACUAACUAUGGACAAGUGAUGCCGGUUGACUGGAAGUGCUCUCAAAUGCACUCGCUCCACGUCCCCUUAUUUAACCUGGAGGAGAAACCUAGGAAGACUGAUGUCACGGGGGAGCUGUCGGAUGAUGAGGAGCUGAGGGAGCAGCUGGACAUGCACUCCAUCAUCGUCUCUUGCCUGGCAGACGAGCCCCUCUUCACUGUAGAGCAGGUGAUUGAGGAGAUAGAGGAGAUGAUGCAGGACUCGCCUGACGUGGAAGCAAAGAACAAUCUGCCUCAGUCAGACUUCUCGAUGCUCUCUUUGGACACGCAGCGCUCCAACAGCAGCCCCGGCUUCAAGGACAGGGUCAGGACUCUGAGUGUUGCGGAGCUGAAUGAAUGUAUGGAGGAGACGGAGACGAACAUCAGGAGGUUUUCAGAGGAGCUGGUGCAGCAGCUGGCUCGGAGGGAUGAACUGGAAUUUGAGAAAGAGGUCAAGAACAGUUUCAUCUCAGUGCUCAUCGAUGUUCAGAACCGGCAGAAGGAGCACCGCGAGCUGCUGAAGAAGAAGAAGAAGUUCAAAGCGCCUCAGCAUGGAGGGACUCUCCUCUGUCUUUCAAAACAGCUUCCGGCAAACUUUUGGGAGUGGGAGCAGUGAAAGACAGGUUACUUCAAGUUUCUUUGCUCUCUCUCUCUCUGCUGCUGAGCUUUAGCAGUUCUGCUGUCUGUGAUGAAAAUGUACACUUUGAUUAGAGUGUCAACUCACAGAAGUAUUCAUUAUCUUCCUUUUCAAACUAUGGUGGUCUUCACAUCUCAGAGAGAUUCCUCUGUAAAGCAUGAAUUACCAAUUCUAAGGUUAUUUAAAAGUAAAUGGUAAAUGCUCUGUAUUUGUAGUGCCCUUUCCCAAGGACACAUCUGCAUGUAGACAACCAGUCUUAUAUAAAGUAACUUAAAGGUAUACUUGAUUAAAAGUAUCUUACCAGAAAACUACUUUGAGAGAAGAUGAAGCCACCUUUUUAUAAUAUUACUUAAGUAAAAGUAUUAAUGAAUUUGACAUUUACUGUGCAAGUAUCAAAAGUAAUUUUCUGAUAUAAAAUGUACUCGUUAUAGAAGUAAGUAUUAAGAGUGAGGAGUAAUGUUUUAGCCAUGGUGGCUCAGUGAUAGGGUGAUUAGUCUUUCAACUGGAAGGUUGUGAGUUCAAUUCCUGGCUCUGCAAGUCUAUGUGUCCUUGAACAAAACACUUAACCCCAUGUUGAAGUGUGUGAAUGGGUGAAUAGCAAAACUGCAGUGUAAAGCAGCUCAUCAAGACUAGAAAAGCUCUAUAUGAACGCAGACCAUUGCCAACUCUUCUUCUGAUUUUAUUUGGUAGUGACGAGUAACAAAGAUAGUUAGAGGAAAGGUAGUGGAGUAAAAGUAAAAGUUGCUGGAAAAACAAAUAAAGUAAAUUAAAGAUACUUGUAUUUUGUACUUAAGUACUCGCUCUGAGCUACCGUCACGCCUAAAAGCCAAACAAUUUCAUUUGAAAUCAGACUUUCAAAUGAUUAUGUUUAGUUUUUUCAAUUUACACCACCCUCCUAAAUGCUUCAUACUGGUCAUUAAAGCAAAUCUGCAACUCAAGUAAAUGCCACAUAAAGAUUCAAUUUAAAAGUUCCUGUGUGUUCCUGUCCUUGUCGCUGUGCACAGUAUUUGACCACAGUCAUCCCGUAUGAGGAGAAAGGACAUCCUCCUUCCAUCGAGGACCUCCAGAUCCUGACCAAGAUCCUGGAAGCAAUGAGGGAUGACAGUGACAAGGUGCCUGGUCUCUUGACAGACUACAUUCUCAAAG
RNA transcript from Solea solea (common sole), 2502 nucleotides. It is a transcript of the gene named fasciculation and elongation protein zeta 2a, with no coding region annotated. Lineage: Eukaryota; Metazoa; Chordata; Actinopteri; Pleuronectiformes; Soleidae. The record is from RefSeq and is a predicted model, not a curated record. The transcript has 7 exons.